Molecule: transfer RNA, 63 nt
Filed under: Plateros sp. UPOL A00492
Lineage: Eukaryota; Metazoa; Arthropoda; Insecta; Coleoptera; Lycidae
Description: tRNA-Phe
Source: RNAcentral
UUUUAAUAGCUUAUAAAGAGUAUAAUAUUGAAGAUAUUAGGGAGAAGUUAUUUCUUAAAAUAU